Molecule: ribosomal RNA, 254 nt
Filed under: uncultured bacterium
Lineage: Bacteria
Description: partial 16S ribosomal RNA
Rfam family: Bacterial small subunit ribosomal RNA
Source: RNAcentral
UACGAAGGGUGCGAGCGUUGUCCGGAAUUAUUGGGCGUAAAGAGCUCGUAGGCGGUGUGUCACGUCGUUCGUGAAAACCUGCAGCUUAACUGUGGGCGUGCGGUCGAUACGGGCAUCACUGGAGUUCGGCAGGGGAGACUGGAAUUCCUGGUGUAGCGGUGAAAUGCGCAGAUAUCGGGAAGAACACCCGUGGCGAAGGCGGCUCUCUGGGACGGUACUGACGCUGAGACGCGAAAGCGUGGGGAGCGAACAGG